CCAGAUAAUAGUUAAAUAGGAAACAGCUGUGUAUGUUUAGUCAUGCUGCAUCUGAAGCGGAGUAUGGGGUAUAAAUGACUUACAGAAAGACGGUCAGGAGGAGAGACCGGAAAGCAUUGCGUAGUUUGAGCCCACAGCCCAUGGAACUACAGAGAAGCGUGUGAGAGAGACGGAAUCUAGUAAAUGACCGUGUGAAGAGAGACUGCCGUGGAAGCUUUAUAUUCAGAGCAAGGCAGGCGGUGGUGGAUUCAGGCUGUGGGUUGGAGUGGGAGGAGCGCGAUCUGACCUUUUCAGCUGCCGACCGCGUCCAUUGGAUAUUCAGAGCAACCUCAAGAGAAAUACAGUGACAACACUGGUGUGAGAUCGGGAUUGAGACAAAGCAGCAGCAAUCAUCAGAAAGACGGCACUGUAUCUAAUAUAAACACUUGACAUUGAGUACAUGUGUAUAUUGUCGGGCCAGGGCACUAAGACAACUGCAAUUUGGAUGUGCUUAAUAAGUAGUGAAAUUGGUUUGGGCACAUUACCAGAGAAUUACGUCAGGGGGCGCACCGUAUUUAGGAAUUGCAUAUUUUUGUAUUUCUGUUUUGAGAAGGACAAGAAAUAGUUCCAGGUUUUAAAAGAAGGUUGGAUAAUGUGUCUUUAGGAGGGUGGGCAGGUAGAUGUUGGAGCUGAACACUACUCUCUGGGUUUGGUAAAUGAAUGCUGAGGUGUGAUUAAGUACAUUAUAUUGUUGUUCUUAUGACAAAUGUGUUUAUUGGUGUUUUAGAGAUUCUAUUGGGUACUCACUGGAAUGGUAUUUAUUGAUUUAAUUUGAUUUAUUUAGCCUGGUUAGUUAUUGGGUAUGCUUACUUAUCUGUAUACUUAUGGAGUAUGGUGACUUUGUUGUUCACUGUAUGGUUGUUAGAUGCUGAAGCUGUAUGCAUUGAAUAAUUAUUUAUCAAUCUAUUUAGUAUUGAUAAUUAUUAAGCAGGGUUACUUGAUGUAUUGAGUGGUUACUUACUGGUGGACUUCUUAUACACUGAUUGAAUUGUGACUUUGGUUACUUUAUUACAGGGGUAUAGUGAACUACGGGGUGGUGGAACAGGGAGGAGAGCAACAAUAAACGGUGAUGAAUCCAAAUUAAAUCAUUGGGGGUUCUUAUAGUUAUGGCUGUACAUGCAAAAGCAUUUCUGUCUAUGGAAUAAAAACUGUUAUUUGUA
Long non-coding RNA from Acipenser ruthenus (sterlet), 1199 nucleotides. RefSeq lists it as uncharacterized. Lineage: Eukaryota; Metazoa; Chordata; Actinopteri; Acipenseriformes; Acipenseridae. The transcript has 2 exons. The record is from RefSeq and is a predicted model, not a curated record.